RNAcentral lists this ribosomal RNA (536 nucleotides) under uncultured bacterium. Its description in RNAcentral is "partial 16S ribosomal RNA". It matches the Rfam family "Bacterial small subunit ribosomal RNA", at positions 355 to 883 of the family's 1533-position model. The record is from RNAcentral.
UGGGGAAUUUUGGACAAUGGGCGAAAGCCUGAUCCAGCAAUGCCGCGUGUGUGAAGAAGGCCUUCGGGUUGUAAAGCACUUUUGUCCGGAAAGAAAUCCUUGGCUCUAAUACAGUCGGGGGAUGACGGUACCGGAAGAAUAAGCACCGGCUAACUACGUGCCAGCAGCCGCGGUAAUACGUAGGGUGCAAGCGUUAAUCGGAAUUACUGGGCGUAAAGCGUGCGCAGGCGGUUUGCUAAGACCGAUGUGAAAUCCCCGGGCUCAACCUGGGAACUGCAUUGGUGACUGGCAGGCUAGAGUAUGGCAGAGGGGGGUAGAAUUCCACGUGUAGCAGUGAAAUGCGUAGAGAUGUGGAGGAAUACCGAUGGCGAAGGCAGCCCCCUGGGCCAAAUACUGACGCUCAUGCACGAAAGCGUGGGGAGCAAACAGGAUUAGAUACCCUGGUAGUCCAUGCCCUAAACGAUGUCAACUAGUUGUUGGGGAUUCAUUUCCUUAGUAACGUAGCUAACGCGUGAAGUUGACCGCCUGGGGAGUAC